This 419-nucleotide ribosomal RNA is filed under the name bacterium. Its description in RNAcentral is "partial 16S ribosomal RNA". It matches the Rfam family "Bacterial small subunit ribosomal RNA", at positions 355 to 776 of the family's 1533-position model. The record is from RNAcentral.
UGGGGGAUAUUGCACAAUGGGCGAAAGCCUGAUGCAGCGACGCCGCGUGGGGGAUGAAGGCCUUCGGGUUGUAAACUUCUUUUGCUCCGAACAAGGCAUGCUAAUGGGUGUGUUGAGUGUAGGGGUUGAUUAGCGCCGGCUAACUACGUGCCAGCAGCCGCGGUAAUACGUAGGGCGCGAGCGUUGUCCGGAAUUAUUGGGCGUAAAGGGCUUGUAGGUGGCUGGUUGCGUCUGUCGUGAAAGCUCAUGGCUUAACUGUGGGUUUGCGGUGGGUACGGGCUGGCUUGAGUGCAGUAGGGGAGGCUGGAAUUCCUGGUGUAGCGGUGGAAUGCGCAGAUAUCAGGAGGAAUACCGGUGGCGAAGGCGGGUCUCUGGGCUGUUACUGACACUGAGGAGCGAAAGCAUGGGGAGCGAACAGG